AGCCAAACUGGAAAUAUAAUU
RNAcentral lists this non-coding RNA (21 nucleotides) under Caenorhabditis elegans. Lineage: Eukaryota; Metazoa; Nematoda; Chromadorea; Rhabditida; Rhabditidae. The record is from RNAcentral.